This 497-nucleotide ribosomal RNA is filed under the name uncultured bacterium. RNAcentral's name for it is "partial 16S ribosomal RNA". It matches the Rfam family "Bacterial small subunit ribosomal RNA", at positions 28 to 507 of the family's 1533-position model. The record is from RNAcentral.
GAUGAACGCUGGCGGCGUGCCUAAUACAUGCAAGUCGAGCGAACAGACGAGGAGUUUGCUCCUCUGACGUUAGCGGCGGACGGGUGAGUAACACGUGGAUAACCUACCUAUAAGACUGGGAUAACUUCGGGAAACCGGAUCUAAUACCGGAUAAUAUAUUGAACCGCAUGGUUCAUUAGUGAAAGACCGUUUUGCUGUCACUUAUAGAUGGAUCCGCGCCGCAUUAGCUAGUUGGUAAGGUAACGGCUUACCAAGGCGACGAUGCGUAGCCGACCUGAGAGGGUGAUCGGCCACACUGGAACUGAGACACGGUCCAGACUCCUACGGGAGGCAGCAGUAGGGAAUCUUCCGCAAUGGGCGAAAGCCUGACGGAGCAACGCCGCGUGAGUGAUGAAGGUCUUCGGAUCGUAAAACUCUGUUAUUAGGGAAGAACAAAUGUGUAAGUAACUAUGCACGUCUUGACGGUACCUAAUCAGAAAGCCACGGCUAACUACGUG